UUGUAGUUGCCGUGUUGCCUGGCUACCGAGCAGCCCAAGCCCAGUAGUCGCUAACAGGCCGCCGCACCACGCGUCCAUGCGAGAGAGCGCCCUCCCAGGUCUCCGUUCCUCUCCCGUCGCCGUCAUCUCCAUUGCCACUGCUGGCCGUCACCGUCGCUGGGAGGAGCACCAGAUCUGCGCCUCCCUACUCCUCCCCAUCGGGACCGGGUAGGAGGUGGAUGACCGAGGACCCCGGGGACGACAAGGUGGCCGAGCAGUCCACGACGCCGUCGGAGACAGAAAAAGGGGUCCAGCCAUCCGCGGCGCCGUCGCCGACGUCCAGAAUGGGACGCUCAUCAUGCUUCUCCACUUUAUGGCCGUGUGUAGCUUGCAGAGGCAGAUUUCAGCGGUGGCAUGGUCGUGCAGCCUCUCCAUACCACAACGUCUUUCUCCUCAGGCCGGUUGCUACCUUAAGUAAAUUUGUAUUGUUUGCAGUUGAUAGGAUCAAGAUUUUGUUCAAAAAGAAAGAGAUAUAGAGGUUCACUUUCUUGCCCAGGUGAGUGCUCGAGUUGGUAGUGUUUAGAGGAUACAUAACCUUGGUGGCGUUUCUACUAUUUUUCAUCUGCUCAAACUGUAAGUAUAUUCAGAUUAAUUUUUAUUUUACUGCAGGCUGUAAAAACUCGUAAAUCAUGCUCUUGAGAUUAUCGCCAUGAGUAGUAUUUACUGGCAUAUCAUGUUUUAGAUGUUUCUCUUCAAGAGAUGCUUGCACUUUAGUUAGAGAAUUUUAUUCCUGCCGAAUCAGUAGUAUGUGUUAGAAUUGUGUACGAGAACAGGGAACAAGUAUGGUAGGCAGUGCAACAUUUAAUUAGCAAUUAGACCGAAAGAUCAUACUCAUAGGCAAUGAUGUUCUUGUCUCAUUCUUUAUUUAUUACCAGAUCAUAUCCAUAAAAACGUAUUGCUUAAUCGAGUCUUGGUUUACUUACAUGUUCUGCUUAUAGAACCAUUAUUUUCUGUAACGACCUGCUUCACAAUGAUGUGGUCCAAACCAAAUAUCUUUUCUUUUGUUAACAAACAUUUGUUAUUAUGCUUAGCAUUAUCGGGGUGACCUCUCAGAUUUGGAGUUGUACUUCGUUAUUAUGAAUAAUGAAUAUGGUCAACAAUCCGAAGAAGAGUUGCUUUCUGCUGGGAGAGUGACGCGUGUGUUACUAAUCUCUUAUUUAGCGUUGCUCUAGGGUCGGUAGUACCAUAUGAAAGAUCAAACAUUUCAUUCCUCCUUUUGUUCUGAUGCAGAUGCUUGCUUAUGUGGUUGCAGAUCGACUUGCGAUAUGUUAAGCAAAUCACUGUGCCACGCAAUGAGCAAUUAGAAAAGAGUGUUUCACCAAAGAUAAAUGAUGAUGUAGUAAUGGAUGCCUUCUACACGCUACAUGUGUGGUUCCCGAAUUGGACCAUAUAUUUUCACGAAGAUCUUCAAGUGUGGCAUUUGCUUAAUUCUCUCACAUCUGCCAUUUAAAGUUCCUCUCUUUGCUUCUAAUCAAUCUGUGUAGAUACUACUCCCUCCGUUCCUAAAUAUAAGUCAUUUGAACAAUUCAUAAAAGAAUAUUGAAGGA
Molecule: long non-coding RNA, 1586 nt
Organism: Triticum dicoccoides
Lineage: Eukaryota; Viridiplantae; Streptophyta; Magnoliopsida; Poales; Poaceae
Exons: 3
Source: RefSeq, a predicted model, not a curated record